This 144-nucleotide small RNA is filed under the name Acididesulfobacillus acetoxydans. Its description in RNAcentral is "L20_leader". Lineage: Bacteria; Bacillati; Bacillota; Clostridia; Eubacteriales; Peptococcaceae. The record is from RNAcentral.
GAUGGUAAGAAGAAGCCAUCCGCUUCUCACCUCAUGGCUUAAGUCGAUGAGGUAUCUUCUGGUCUGAGCAAGGUCAUUGUGCCUGCGGUUGCUCUGAUUUGGUAAGGAAGACGGGUGGUCAUCAGCCCGUCUUUUAUUUUUGUU